This is an RNA transcript of Solenopsis invicta (red fire ant), 1451 nucleotides long. It is a transcript of the gene named histidine triad nucleotide-binding protein 3, with no coding region annotated. The transcript has 5 exons. Lineage: Eukaryota; Metazoa; Arthropoda; Insecta; Hymenoptera; Formicidae. The record is from RefSeq and is a predicted model, not a curated record.
GUCUUUCUAGACUCUCAACAAAUCGCCAAGUUAUUCGAGAAACAUGCUCGGCGAAGAGCUUGUCAAAGCAACCCCAGUUACACGUGACCGGCGCGCUCAUUGGUCGUCGUGGGUGGUGAUCAGGGAUGCAUUGAUGCGCUCUGAUUGGCCGAAGGGUACGCCUUGGUGGAGAAGGAAAAAUCAAAAACACAUGAGAAACAAGAAGGCUAUACUUGACAACCUCCUUGUUGCACAUGGUCCUCGGAUAAAUUUGUGAUUUUUCGAGAGUUUAGAAAGCAACGUCUAUUAUGUAUUUCCAACUAACUGUUUGUUACCGUCUAUCGAUAAGUGCUUCUCGAGACCUAUUAUCUGAGAACACUAAUGUGUACGGUGUAACAGUUUAGAAAUGAUGCUCCAAUAAUUUCUGAAUAAGCUGUCAUUUGAUAUUAUCGAAAUUAACAUAAAUUUCUAAUGGCUCAGCAGCUGGCAAAUUGCACUUUUUGCAAAAUUAUUAGAAACGAGGAACCCGGCGACAAAAUUUACGAGGACGAUGAUGUUACAUGUAUUAAGGACAUUAAUCCAGCAUCCACGCAUCAUUAUUUGAUAAUACCAAAUAAACAUAUACGCAAUGCGAAAACACUUAAACCUGAAGAUUCUGAACUUUUUGACAAGAUUGUUGCUACUGUAGGCAUUAUUUCUGAAAAGCUGAACCUUGAUCCAGCAUCUAUACGAACAGGAUUUCACUGGCCACCGUUUAAUACCGUUGAUCAUUUACAUUUACAUGUAAUUUCACCAGUAGACAAAAUGAACGCUAUGAGAAAAUUUAUGUUCAAUCCCAAUAACUUUUGGUUCGUGGGUACAGAUUAUGUGAAAUCUCGCCUAGAAAAUUGUAAACUGUAGAGCAUUGUUAUAAUUUUACUUGUUAUUUGUCUUCCUAGUAACGAAAUGAAAUUCUUGCUCUAUACUAUUGAAGCAUUUAGUGUGGUUGCGGACGUAAAUAUUUAUUGUGGGUAAUUUUGUUUUUCCAAUAAAAGCCUUCUGGAUACAUGUACUCUCUGAUGCUCUCUUCCUUAAGUUCAGUCGAGUAUCCAGGACGCAAAGGUGGCAUGUAAUGUGCAUUAUUAAUACGAACAGGAUCCACAAAGUGCUCGUGUUGUUGGUCCACAAAUUCUAUUAUACGAUCUUGAGUGGUCUGACUUAAGCAAAUGUAGUCCCACAUUUGAAGAUGCUGAAUCAUCUCACACAAGCCUACUCCACCAGCAUGUGGGCAAACUGGUUCUGCAAAUAAGAAAUUUUUCACAUUCUGAUUUUCUUUAAAUUUAUUAGUUUGUCAAGAAUAAUUUUUUUUAAAUAUUGAAGAAGGGAAAAAUUAAGUACAAAAAUUCAAAUUAUUAAUAAUUAGUAGAUAAUUGACUUAGAUUUAUACUGAUAUUAUACUUACUCUUUAAUAUGUACGCCAUUAUAUAUACAGU